UACGAAGGGGGCUAGCGUUGCUCGGAAUCACUGGGCGUAAAGGGUGCGUAGGCGGGUCUUUUAAGUCAGAGGUGAAAUCCUGGAGCUCAACUCCAGAACUGCCUUUGAUACUGAGGAUCUUGAGUUCGGGAGAGGUGAGUGGAACUGCGAGUGUAGAGGUGAAAUUCGUAGAUAUUCGCAAGAACACCAGUGGCGAAGGCGGCUCACUGGCCCGAUACUGACGCUGAGGCACGAAAGCGUGGGGAGCGAACAGG
This 254-nucleotide ribosomal RNA is filed under the name uncultured bacterium. Its description in RNAcentral is "partial 16S ribosomal RNA". It matches the Rfam family "Bacterial small subunit ribosomal RNA", at positions 524 to 776 of the family's 1533-position model. The record is from RNAcentral.